This 1077-nucleotide long non-coding RNA is filed under the name Gopherus agassizii (Agassiz's desert tortoise). RNAcentral describes it as "lncRNA (ENSGAGG00000022413.1)". The record is from RNAcentral. Lineage: Eukaryota; Metazoa; Chordata; Testudines; Testudinidae.
AUGAGCAUUUCAGUCAGGUGUGACCAUUUAUCUGCACAAAGCUCGUUAUUUCUGCCCCCACGUCGGACACGCUCCCGGAGCGGCCACCCCCCGGGCCAGCCUCACCCGGUCCCGCAUCUACCGGCGAUCCGGGGCCGCGGCGGGGCGCAGCGGAAGGGCCCUCAGGCGGGAGAGCCGCCAGCGCAGCGCUGCCCCACCGGGCGGCGGCCCCGCCAGGCAGGGGCGAGGAGCCCUGCACGGGCCCAGCUCCCCAUGGAGGAGUCGGGCCGCCCAGUCCCUGCUGCUGCCCACGCAGCCCUCAGCAGGGAGGAAGGACCGAGCAACCUGUCCACACACCAGGCAGGGAGGAGAGGCCAGAGACCGAGCCUUAGCCGACGGAGCUUAAAUACCAGCGGGCAGUUACCGCGAGAUCUCGCGCCCCCAUCCCCGCACGCUAGUUCUCGCUCUAGUGUCUCCACGCGUUGGGGGCGGGGCAACCUCUAGGGGAAUGGCGCGGGGCGACUCCAUGUCCGCGAGUGCGCAACUAUUGUUGGCGAAGAGGCACGUGACCUCAGCCAACCGGCGGGGGCUGAUGGGGGCCACCGAGUGUUCUGCUCCCUCUCCCCGCCCCUCGGUUGCCAGGCUGCUGAGAGCGGGGGGCUGGGCUAGGCCGGUCGCUGCUGCUGCCCGGGGCUGGCUGCAGCCAGGGGCCGGGCCUGGCCUCGGCCGUGCCAGAUCAUCAAUGGCGCCGCCAUUAUGGCCUUUCACCUUGAUUUGAAUCCAGCUGCAUAGUACUGAAGAAGGUGAUGUUGGUCAACAGAAGAAAGUAUUUUGAUGAGUCUGCAGCCAUGGUGCAGUCUCUUGUGAUUGAAGUUUUCCCAUCCACAAUUGGUCAGUUUAGUCCGUGGUCAGGUGUACUGGUGGAUUUGCUAAAGCUGAGCUCUCAUGUUGCAACAGCCACAAGUAACACUUUCUACCCUCUCCAGUUAGCUAGGAGACUCCACCUCAUCCUGGCGGACAAGGAUCUGGUCUCAGUUAUUCAUGCUGUCACUUCUCAGCUGGACUACCACAAUGCUAUAGAUGUGGGCACAAAACCUU